RNAcentral lists this ribosomal RNA (642 nucleotides) under Escherichia coli. Its description in RNAcentral is "bacterial SSU rRNA". It matches the Rfam family "Bacterial small subunit ribosomal RNA", at positions 880 to 1522 of the family's 1533-position model. Lineage: Bacteria; Pseudomonadati; Pseudomonadota; Gammaproteobacteria; Enterobacterales; Enterobacteriaceae. The record is from RNAcentral.
GUACGGCCGCAAGGUUAAAACUCAAAUGAAUUGACGGGGGCCCGCACAAGCGGUGGAGCAUGUGGUUUAAUUCGAUGCAACGCGAAGAACCUUACCUGGUCUUGACAUCCACGGAAGUUUUCAGAGAUGAGAAUGUGCCUUCGGGAACCGUGAGACAGGUGCUGCAUGGCUGUCGUCAGCUCGUGUUGUGAAAUGUUGGGUUAAGUCCCGCAACGAGCGCAACCCUUAUCCUUUGUUGCCAGCGGUCCGGCCGGGAACUCAAAGGAGACUGCCAGUGAUAAACUGGAGGAAGGUGGGGAUGACGUCAAGUCAUCAUGGCCCUUACGACCAGGGCUACACACGUGCUACAAUGGCGCAUACAAAGAGAAGCGACCUCGCGAGAGCAAGCGGACCUCAUAAAGUGCGUCGUAGUCCGGAUUGGAGUCUGCAACUCGACUCCAUGAAGUCGGAAUCGCUAGUAAUCGUGGAUCAGAAUGCCACGGUGAAUACGUUCCCGGGCCUUGUACACACCGCCCGUCACACCAUGGGAGUGGGUUGCAAAAGAAGUAGGUAGCUUAACCUUCGGGAGGGCGCUUACCACUUUGUGAUUCAUGACUGGGGUGAAGUCGUAACAAGGUAACCGUAGGGGAACCUGCGGUUGGA